UACAGAGGUGGCAAGCGUUGUUCGGAAUUACUGGGCGUAAAGGGCGCGUAGGCGGUCUUUUAAGUCUUGUGUGAAAUCCCUCGGCUCAACUGAGGAACUGCACGGGAUACUGGAAGACUUGAGUUCGGGAGAGGGAAGCGGAAUUCCGGGUGUAGCGGUGAAAUGCGUAGAUAUCCGGAGGAACACCGGUGGCGAAGGCGGCUUCCUGGACCGAUUACUGACGCUGAGGCGCGAAAGCUAGGGGAGCGAACCGG
This 254-nucleotide ribosomal RNA is filed under the name uncultured bacterium. RNAcentral's name for it is "partial 16S ribosomal RNA". It matches the Rfam family "Bacterial small subunit ribosomal RNA", at positions 524 to 776 of the family's 1533-position model. The record is from RNAcentral.